GAACGCUGGCGGCGUGCUUAACACAUGCAAGUCGAGCGGAAAGGCCCUUCGGGGUACUCGAGCGGCGAACGGGUGAGUAACACGUGAGCAACCUGCCCCAGGCUUUGGGAUAACCCCGGGAAACCGGGGCUAAUACCGAAUAUGACCUCCGAUCGCAUGGUUGGUGGUGGAAAGUUUUUCGGCUUGGGAUGGGCUCGCGGCCUAUCAGCUUGUUGGUGGGGUGAUGGCCUACCAAGGCGACGACGGGUAGCCGGCCUGAGAGGGCGACCGGCCACACUGGGACUGAGACACGGCCCAGACUCCUACGGGAGGCAGCAGUGGGGAAUAUUGCACAAUGGGCGGAAGCCUGAUGCAGCGACGCCGCGUGAGGGAUGACGGCCUUCGGGUUGUAAACCUCUUUCAGCAGGGACGAAGCGUAAGUGACGGUACCUGCAGAAGAAGCGCCGGCCAACUACGUGCCAGCAGCCGCGGUAAGACGUAGGGCGCGAGCGUUGUCCGGAUUUAUUGGGCGUAAAGAGCUCGUAGGCGGC
This 530-nucleotide ribosomal RNA is filed under the name Micromonospora aurantiaca (nom. illeg.). RNAcentral's name for it is "bacterial SSU rRNA". It matches the Rfam family "Bacterial small subunit ribosomal RNA", at positions 31 to 579 of the family's 1533-position model. Lineage: Bacteria; Bacillati; Actinomycetota; Actinomycetes; Micromonosporales; Micromonosporaceae. The record is from RNAcentral.